CAUUUCAGGAUUGCUAACUAUGUACAAGCAAUCAUAUAAAGGGUAGAUCAAAAUUAUACUAAUAAUAUUUUUUAGCACAACCAUACUAUAUGGUAUCGAUCGAUGUAUCGAUAAGAUUGUCAUGUUUUUAUUUCUUAAAAAGACACUUCAUUUGUUGCAGAUCUAGUUGCUUAUUCUUGCACUCUACUUCCUUACUACUGCUCAUGAUGGCUUUCCUUUCGUAUCAAUGACAGUUCAACCAAUCUCCGGACCUCUAUUAGUGUAGUUAUCAGGGUCACGACUUACACAAAAACAGUAAUGUAUUAGAACACAAAUAAAUUAAGCUAUUUAGUUAACCAAACAUGUGUUGCACUACUAAUGGGUGAGCACAAAUAAAAAUAUAAUUACUAAUAUCGAACCAAGCUUAUCUAUGUCCUACAGCAAUCCAAACCAAAAGAAACCAAUUAUAUAUAGUUUGUCGGGAGCUAACAGACAUAAAGACAAAACAAUCAAGUUUCCAAUAAAUCUAGUGAUCUUUAGUUAGAUUCAGAGAUUGUAUUUAUAAUAAUCAGAAAUCAUGCUACAGCUGUGAGAAAUAGUAAUCCACCAUAGACACUCGAACAAUAAAUAAAGAUAUUUAAGUAUAUAAUUUUUCAGUAGUAAAGACAAAGUAGCAAAUAGAAAGGGCGUGAAAAAUGUACUCCAUUUAUCCAUAAGUCAUUCCUGAAAUUAUUGAUUAUAUGUUAAUAUUUGUUCAAUUUAGAAUAGUGUGUAUAUAUAUAUAUAUUGGAUGGUCUGAUGUUAAUAUGUGUACACAAACUUAUAUAAUAGUGUGUGCUGGAAAGGAUGGUAUUAUUUAUAAUGUUGUAUUUUAAAUUAUAAUGUGAUAUUAGUUGAUUAUACAUUAAGAUAUUUGUUGACUGAGUUGAGUUGUACGAUGUUUUGUGAUUAUAAUGUGAUGAGUAUAAAUUUAAUAAAGUUAGUUAAAUUCUUUCGGAUAUUAUAAAAAUUUCAGUAUUUCAGUAAUAUGUAUGUUCUCAUUUUUGUUUUUGUAGUAAUCAUAUUUGUUAGAAGUAAAUAUAUAUUAUUUGUGUACAACAUAUGAUAAUUAAUUUAUUAGCGUACGAUUUUAUGGUUUAAUUGUUUGAUGUCUGCUAAUUGGUAGGGAUGAUUUUAUUUUAUUAUACAGAACCUAAUUUUGUUAAGUCAACAAUGAAAGGCUAAUCGUUUUAUAAAUUGUUUAAAUUAUUA
This 1230-nucleotide long non-coding RNA is filed under the name Oryza brachyantha (malo sina). Its description in RNAcentral is "long non-coding RNA (OBRA_LNC000292)". Lineage: Eukaryota; Viridiplantae; Streptophyta; Magnoliopsida; Poales; Poaceae. The record is from RNAcentral.